GCAGUCGUGGCCGAGUGGUUAAGGCGAUAGACUAGAAAUCUAUUGGGCUCUGCCCGCGCAGGUUUGAAUCCUGCCUAUUGCG
Molecule: transfer RNA, 82 nt
Filed under: Capitella teleta
Lineage: Eukaryota; Metazoa; Annelida; Polychaeta; Capitellidae
Description: tRNA-Ser for anticodon AGA
Rfam family: tRNA
About the family: Transfer RNA (tRNA) molecules are approximately 80 nucleotides in length.
Source: Rfam by way of RNAcentral